UACGUAGGUGGCAAGCGUUGUCCGGUAUGAUUUGGCGUUAAGCUCGCGCAGGCGGUCUUUUAAGUCUGAUGUGAAAGGCCCCGGCUCAAACGGGGAGGGUCAUUGGAAACUGGGAGACUUGAGUACAGAAGAGGAGAGUGGAAUUCCACGUGUAGCGGUGAAAUGCGUAGAUAUGUGGAGGAACACCAGUGGCGAAGGCGACUCUCUGGUCUGUAACUGACGCUGAGGCGCGAAAGCGUGGGGAGCAAACAGG
Molecule: unclassified non-coding RNA, 253 nt
Filed under: uncultured Bacillaceae bacterium
Lineage: Bacteria; Bacillati; Bacillota; Bacilli; Caryophanales; Bacillaceae
Description: contains 16S-23S intergenic spacer region
Rfam family: Bacterial small subunit ribosomal RNA
Source: RNAcentral